This 539-nucleotide ribosomal RNA is filed under the name Salinivibrio sp. KP-1. RNAcentral's name for it is "bacterial SSU rRNA". It matches the Rfam family "Bacterial small subunit ribosomal RNA", at positions 996 to 1533 of the family's 1533-position model. Lineage: Bacteria; Pseudomonadati; Pseudomonadota; Gammaproteobacteria; Vibrionales; Vibrionaceae. The record is from RNAcentral.
CUUUCCAGAGAUGGAUUGGUGCCUUCGGGAGCUCUGAGACAGGUGCUGCAUGGCUGUCGUCAGCUCGUGUUGUGAAAUGUUGGGUUAAGUCCCGCAACGAGCGCAACCCUUAUCCUUGUUUGCCAGCACGUAAUGGUGGGAACUCCAGGGAGACUGCCGGUGAUAAACCGGAGGAAGGUGGGGACGACGUCAAGUCAUCAUGGCCCUUACGAGUAGGGCUACACACGUGCUACAAUGGCAGAUACAGAGGGCAGCGAAGCUGCGAAGUGGAGCGAAUCCCUUAAAGUUUGUCGUAGUCCGGAUUGGAGUCUGCAACUCGACUCCAUGAAGUCGGAAUCGCUAGUAAUCGUGGAUCAGAAUGCCACGGUGAAUACGUUCCCGGGCCUUGUACACACCGCCCGUCACACCAUGGGAGUGGGCUGCACCAGAAGUAGAUAGCUUAACCUUCGGGAGGGCGUUUACCACGGUGUGGUUCAUGACUGGGGUGAAGUCGUAACAAGGUAGCCCUAGGGGAACCUGGGGCUGGAUCACCUCCUUAC